This 499-nucleotide ribosomal RNA is filed under the name uncultured bacterium. RNAcentral describes it as "partial 16S ribosomal RNA". It matches the Rfam family "Bacterial small subunit ribosomal RNA", at positions 28 to 507 of the family's 1533-position model. The record is from RNAcentral.
GACGAACGCUGGCGGCGUGCCUAAUACAUGCAAGUCGAGCGAAGUUUUUCUGGUGCUUGCACCGGAAAAACUUAGCGGCGAACGGGUGAGUAACACGUAAAGAACCUGCCUCAUAGACUGGGACAACUAUUGGAAACGAUAGCUAAUACCGGAUAAUAGCAUUAACUGCAUGGUUGAUGUUUAAAAGUUGGUUUUGCUAACACUAUGAGAUGGCUUUGCGGUGCAUUAGCUAGUUGGUGGGGUAAAGGCCUACCAAGGCGACGAUGCAUAGCCGACCUGAGAGGGUGAUCGGCCCCACUGGGACUGAGCCACGGCCCAGACUCCUACGGGAGGCAGCAGUAGGGAAUCUUCCGCAAUGGGCGAAAGCCUGACGGAGCAACGCCGCGUGAGUGAAGAAGGAUUUCGGUUCGUAAAGCUCUGUUGUUAGGGAAGAAUGAUUGUGUAGUAACUAUACACAGUAGAGACGGUACCUAACCAGAAAGCCACGGCUAACUACGUG